ACAUAUACUAAUUUUUUUCAUUGCUAAAUUACAUAAAACCCUCCUAUCAAAACCCGAUUUUUCACUUUUCCCCAUGUCAUUUAAAAACCUACACUUUGCCCUCUUGUAAAAUGAAAUAUGUUCACUUUGCCCCCUACCGAUAGUAAUUUGUUAGGGUUUCAUUUAUAAAAUAUUAUUAUAUAUUUUUUUAUGACAAAAAUGCUCUCAGCCUUCUCUCCUGUGAACAUGGUGAGAUGCAAAAUGGUGAGGGGCAAAAUGAUUAUUUUAUCAUCACAGUUCACACCGUACCCCCUCGUGAAUAUUUUUCAUUUUAUAAGAGGGUAAAGUGUAGGUUUUUAAAUGACAGGGAGAAAGUGAAAAAUCGAGUUUUGACAAAGGGGUUUUCUGUAAUUUAGCCUUUUUUCAAAGACAAUAUUAUAUUAUUA
Molecule: long non-coding RNA, 425 nt
Filed under: Ananas comosus (pineapple)
Lineage: Eukaryota; Viridiplantae; Streptophyta; Magnoliopsida; Poales; Bromeliaceae
Description: long non-coding RNA (ACOM_LNC041525)
Source: RNAcentral